This is a long non-coding RNA of Sphaerodactylus townsendi, 434 nucleotides long. RefSeq lists it as uncharacterized. The transcript is spliced from 3 exons. Lineage: Eukaryota; Metazoa; Chordata; Lepidosauria; Squamata; Sphaerodactylidae. The record is from RefSeq and is a predicted model, not a curated record.
GCUACAAUACCGUUUCUAGUAUUUUGGGAGGUUUUAACCUACAAUGUUUGAGGGAGUUGUUUGUUUUUAAAAGAUUUCAAAUUCUUCAGCAAUCCUGGAACUUUUUUCAGCUGGCAACAAUAGAAAUGCUUCUGUGGAGACUGCAUGUGACCAUCUCCCGAAUAUACACUAGCCCCAAAGCCAUCUAGAAUGAGCCUAUUCCAUCAUGUAUUCUGAUAAAGAUUGUUGUCUCAAGAAGACUGAAGAUGAUAGCUGGUGAAAAUAUUCUCCAGUUCAGUUCUGUGGAAUGAUCUGUAAAUGUCACAGAGAUUCUCAAUGACUGACCCAAGACCAUCCAAUGACAUGCAGCUGACUCAGAAUUUGGAACCAGGUUUUCCCCAUCCUACUCUGACACCACAGUGGCUUUAAAUAGCCCUUGCAAUCCAAAAUAUCCU